Uloborus diversus is the source of this 519-nucleotide long non-coding RNA. RefSeq lists it as uncharacterized. The transcript is spliced from 5 exons. NCBI's taxonomy places the organism in Eukaryota, Metazoa, Arthropoda, Arachnida, Araneae, Uloboridae. The record is from RefSeq and is a predicted model, not a curated record.
CGGGGUUUUCCUCCUUUGAACAAAUUUCGUUUGUUUGCAGUAAUAAAGCUGAAAGUCUGGAUGUCGGGAUGUCUGGAUGUCUGUUACGCGCAUAGCACCGCGACUGUUCGACCUAUUUUCAUGAAAUUUGGCACAUAAUUAGUUCGUAGCAUAGGGGUCAUGGGGACAUCCGGGAAGGAAGUACUCAAUUCCUCUCUUUCAGAACAGUUUGUAUCUCUGAUGUAAAAGGAAAAAAGUCAUUGAUGUUGCAUUAGCUGAAGAAGAACUAUGUCCAUAUUAGUUUCGGUUUUCAUUAUUGGACUCGUCUUGGUUAAACAUGCACUUAGCCAAACUUGUGGGAUGCCUGUGGCGAAUACUUUCAGUACUCGUAUCAUGAAUGGAGUCAGAGUAAAAGGAGGUGACUUCCCUUGGAUGGCUGCUUUGUACGAAGGAGAAAACCUAAUAUGCUCGGCGUUUAUGAUUGACAGUCGACAUGCCUUAACGGCAGCCCAUUGUUUUGCAGACUUUGAAAAUUCUAAG